CAAUUUAAUACUUUGGGCCUUUUUAAAAAAAAAAAAAAAUCAAAAGACUAGGACCUUCCUUGGCCCCCUGAAGUUUUAGGUUUUCAGAUGCUCCGAGAUUCAAUCUGUGCAUUUUCUUGGCAUCUGUUUUUUCCAGGCAGUAUAUUACCACUAUAAAGUAGCCUGAACAGUGGGGUCUUCCCAACUGGGGGCCCACUUCAAAGGCAAUGUUUGAAGUCCCCUGAUGCUGACUGUGGCUGAAAGGGCUUAUUGUUAUGUUUAGUUUAUUAAUUACUUUAAACAGAAAAAAUAAAAGAUAAUUAUCUUCUAAAUAAAGUUCUCAGCCUGUCUUCCUUCUUUAACAUUUUCCAAUCUUCGGUCUUUUUUUUUUUUUCCAGUCAUACACCAGUAACUUUAGUUCUAAAUACUGGUGUGAUAUAAUUAUGUAACGCCUUUUAAGCUGGAGAUAUGUAGCUGUCUUGCAAAGGCACAUUGCUGUUUUCUCCUAUAUUUAGAAAACAAAAAUUUAGAAAGUAAGGGCAAGCAAUCCAUUCAACCAGCAUUAUACCAUGAGGUGUGGAUGGAGAGAGCAAGAGAAUCCAGAUUUCUUAUUCAAUUUCAUCAGGAAAUUGAAGGAAUAUUCUUCCCAGAACACUGGCAACUCUGGAAUCCCCCUGAAAUCUGAAGAGUGUCCUGCUUUCUCACAAACCAAACAUCCCACCCAGUUUUACUUGCAAUUAGCUAUUUCACCCCAACCACAGCUUGCUUUUUUUCCCCAAUUUUCCUCAAAACUAAAGCAAGUCAGAGUCCCGUGGUGUGAAGCAAAACAAAAACACCCCCUAAGUUCAUGUGUUGUCACCAGACAAAAAUUUGCUAAGAACAAGCAGAAAUGAGGAGUUAAUGGAUUCCAUAUGUGGUCACUAACCUAGCUUUAUGAGAUUUUCCAAGAGAUUUCUGAAGAAAUUCCUGGAGCACAAAACAAGAUCAAACACCCACUUUUCCUGUCAAACAGGACAAGGAAUGUUCAAUCCAUAGUUACCCCUGCAUUUACCUCAGUAAACAUGGGAAGAAACUUUGGCGGCAGUGUCUGCUUUGCAAGGAGCCGAGGGCCUUGUGUGGUACCCCAGAGCAGGAAAACAUCGCAAGAUAGAGUCUGCUUCCUCACAGCACGAGGGGACCAGCCCUGCGAGCCUCCUGCCUGGUACCAAAUUCAUCUCAGAGGGGAGGGCCGAUCAACCAAAGGUGGUAACUGUGGAAUUUUCUUCAUCCAGCAAGACUGCCCCCGAAUGCAAAAAGAACAAAGUGUCAAUCGGCUCCUUGUCUCUUCAGACUUCAUUCAGUGGUCACAGAGGUAUUUCCUCUGCACAUAUUUUCGUUCAGCAGUGUGGUUUCUGGCCCAGUGACUGUGGCUAUAAUGGUUAGCUUAGCCUUAACCACAUUAGGGCCCGGGUUAGGGAGAAGAUUUCUUGUUGUUCUUAUUGUUUUUGUUGUCGUUGCUGGAGUUGAGGCAGGGCAGCUGCUGGGGUUAAACACGGUUUCCAUUGUUAUUGUUUUCUUUCUCCCUUUGUGUGUCCUGAACUCUGAAUGGCAGAAAUGAGAGCCCCACUUUUGUUAGUGGAGUGGCUUCUGUGAGCAAAUUCCAACCACUGGAAUGUUUCGUGAGCUGCAAAGACAACCGCAAGAGUCUUGGAAAUUUGUCUGUGGAGUGUAUGGCUGGGGCCCCCUUGCCAUGUCCCUCCUCCCUUCCAAGUGGAAAUAACAGCCAUAGGACAGGUGGGAGAGGAGUGGAUGGGAGCAAAUCAGGAAGAGAGGGCACCUAGCUGAGCUGUCCAGCCACAAGAAAUUUGUGCUUUGGGGUAAAAUAAUGUCCCCGUUAACCAAGGGUGCACAACAUAGAGCACACUGGCAGCAGGGUCCCAAGCAGCUGGCGAGGCUUGGAGCUGCUCCCUGAUAGUGAGAGGGGGCUGGCUACCCCAGGACAGGUUCAUGGAAGAGGGGAGCUGCCUGGGGCCACUUGGGGAGGAGUUGGAAGGUUCACCCGGGGAGGACGAGGCCACGUGAUCUGCAGAGAUAAUGGAGCCUUCAGCUUGACAUCUGAGCCUUGAGUCUCCAGGUGGAGCAGUAUUCUUGCUGGGAGGGGAGACAGUAAUUGUUUUUAGCAUGACAGAUAAGACAUUCCUGCUUCCCUGAUCCCCCGCAUCUGGGAAACUAGCUAAAUAUUUAAAUGAAGGCAUGCAAAGUUUCUAGCUUCUCUCCACUUCCUCCUUCAAGAUCACUCUUAAAUAAGAAGACCCUGCCUUCUUAAUUUUACACUAUGAUAGGUAAAAGCAUAAUUGUAGAGGAUUGUUUGGCUUUAAUCUGAUCAAAACCAUAAGUCGCCAAGAGACUGUGGGAAACAUUAAUUGUGUAGCUGGACUGGGUUUCAUGACUGCAGGGAGACUCAUAAAUAAAGCCUAGGACUUGAGCCCAAGAGUGUAACAGGAGAGAGAAAACAGAAGCUGGUGGAGAAAGAUGGCUGAUGUUGCCUCUUAAGUGAGAGUAUAUAAAUAGUUUGCUCCCUCUGAGGUUGUAUACAAUUUAGUCCCUCUUCACAAGUGUUCCCAUUUAAAGCUGUGGUUAACUGAAGGGCUGGAGAUGUUACUAUUUCUCAAAAAAAAAAAAAAGCUUUCUGUAAAGUUCCAAAUCCUAUGUGUGAUGUUGACAGAUAUUUGACCCACAUAAACAUUCAUUUAAGGAGACGAGACACUAUUUUCCCUGCCUCCUGACCAAACUCAUAUUCUUCAAAACAUCAAACAAAGUAAUAUGCAGAAUUAUGUUGCCCCUGAGAGGGAUUUUCUCUUGUUUCCCUCCCACUCUGCUCAGUCAGUCUGUCUGUCUUUCCCUCCCAGCUUCCCCCUUACCCUCCCCUGAAAACUCUGGAAAAACAGUAAAUUAAACAAGAUGAUGCAGGAGAAGCAGAGCCAAGAACAGUAAAGUGCAGAAUUCAGAGCCUUUCUCCCCUGCCUUCCUGAGAGGAUGCUUUAUGCUGCUGAUUGGCUGCUGGCUUGACUGAGCUAAUUGAAGGUAAGGGGCUGCCCUUAAGAGAAAAAAAAAAAUCUGAAAAAUGGGAAAACAAGGGGAAACCUGAGCCAGGGGACCAGUAAGGGAUGGAAAUUGGGGGGCAGGUGGUAGGGGGAAGUGGCAGAGACACAUUGAGACAGUGUGGCAGUUUGAGGAUAAAAAGAAGAUGUUUAGGAAUCUUUUAAGUAUGUUAGAUCCUAAAAUUGUCCCUUUGCAAUGUUUAGUGAAGAACAAAAUAUUGCAUUUUAACACAUAUGUAUGAAAUCUAGAAAGAUGGUACUGUUGCCCUAUGUGCAGGGCAACAAUGGAGACACAGACAGAACAGAUUUGUGGACACAGGCCAGGGAAGGAGAGGGUGGGGUGAAUUAAGGGAGUAGCACUGAAACAUCUGCGUUAUCAUAUGUAAAAUGAGCCAGGGAAACUGUGCUGUAGGACAAUGGGAGCUCAAAUCCAGUGCUCUGUGACAACCUAGUGGGCGGGGUGGCAGGAGCGGGGAAUGAGGGGGAGUGAGACAUGUAUCCCUGUGGCUAAUUCCAUGUUGAUAUAUGUCAGAAACCAAUACAAUACUGUAAAGCAAUUAUCCUCCAAUUUAAAGUUUCAAAAAGUGUUUUUAAAAUAAAAGGUUUUUUCAGAGCACUUAGGAGUCCGUUUCUUUUUUUAGAUGCAUUAUCUUUCAGAGACAAAUCCUAACCCUAGAAGGUAGACAUUAGGUUAGAUAGAAGGAAAAGAUAGAUUGAUAUAGAUAAGAGACCUAGCAAAUGUGGGCCCAGUUAUCUAAUUUACACCUAAACAGUCAUUUCACCUGUCUUAAUUUCAUGCUCUCCUGCCAAAUCGCUUCAGUCGUGUCCAACUCUGUGCAACCCCCUAGACAGCAGCCCACCAGGCUCCCCCGUCCCUGGGAUUCUCCAGGCAAGAACACUGGAGUGGGUUGCCAUUUCCUUCUCCAAUGCAUGAAAGUGAAAAGUGAAAGUGAAGUCGUUCAGUCCUGUCUGACUCUCAGUGACCUCACGGACUGCAGCCCACCAGGCUCCUCAGUCCAUGGGAUUUUCCAGGCAAGAGUACUGGAGUGGGGUGCCAUUGCAUUCUCCGAUUUCAUGCUCUACUCCCUUAAAAGAAACACAAUUGUUCCAAACCCAUUUGCUGUAAAUUUCCAUGGUUUUCAACUCUUUUCAUUUCCAUAUCUAUUCAUCUUUUUUUGUGAUUCUCCUUUCCCUUUUCCAUGAAUCUUUGUUGCUUUUUAUCAUGUCUUUCUUUUCUACCACCUUUUGGGGCAGCCUCUCUUUGUAAACUCCUAGGAUUCAGCUCUAUAGUGCACAUCAAGUCUACAACCUGCCUUUUGUAUUGCAGAAACUCUCAGCCCUAGGAGUGUUGUGAUGUGUUUUGCUUUCUUCUUUCCUGGCAGCCAUGCUCCUUGUCUCUGUAGACAUGGAGUCCUGAGCUGGGACCUCUGGAUGCUAGAGGGUCAAUCCCGAUGCCUGUCCUUUGAUUUUUGCCUCUCUGAACCCUGUAUAUUCUCUUCAUUCUUCCAGAAACUAUCAAUGAUUUUUUUUUCUUCACAAGACCCCUCUUUCUAUUGCAAUACUUCUCCUUCAGCCCCUGCAAUUCUGGUGGAACUGGCAAUCCUAUCCUUAAUAGUGCAUCACUCAGGGCUAGCCAAUCAUAGCAUUUUAUCCCUCCUAAACUGCAAGGAUUGGUUCAAGGUGAGCCAUCUGACCCAAGUUGUGCAGGAGUAUCCAAUGAACUUAAAUAGUUAGAUACUGUCUCCUGGGAUUGAGUACUGUGAGAACACUGUAAAUUAGAACUACCUGCAGCUAUCUUUUCUAACUCCAUGGAGAAAGAUACAUACAACAAGAGGAUAAUAUCCCUGGAAUAACCCUUAAGCAAUAAACAGUGGGAGUAGAUAAAACAUCAUCAGUCCUUCUACUAGGGUACAACCACGCAGCCCUAGUAGUCCCUAUUUCCUCAUCAAAGAACAAGAUCCUCAGAUAAUACACAGUCUGCUGUCGGGUUCAGUUAUGACUCCUCAAGGUCUAAGAACAUAUGACCUAAAAAUGAACUAACUGGAAGCCAUCUGCACCCAGAGACUUAGAUGGCAUGGUAACAUCUUUAAUGUGGUCUUUGUUCUAAGGUUGAAUUGUUUCAGUGAACUGAGAAUUCUUACCCUCUUGAAGUCUAGGAAUAUUUCAUCCUCAAACAGUCCAUCAGAAAUGUAAAUCUUUAUGUGUGGAUUCUUUAUCACUGAGCCACUGAGGAAGCCCAAGAAUUAUUGUAUGCUUGGAUGAAAUUCCUGCUAUGAAAGAUGUGGUAUUCUCAGCUGUAACUCCAACCCACUGAUAAGGAGGAAGGGAAGACAAUGGAAACUCGAGUCAACUAUAUGCCAAACACAGUUCUAAUGAGGCAACCCUUUAAAGGAGUUUAUAUGUUGCCUUGGCUUGAAAAUAUCCAAAGGCCUCUAUCAUUCUGGCAGAAUGGAAGCUAACCUGAUCUUCAGAUGGCUGUGAACAUUCUGCAGCACAGUGGAGUGGAAGAAGCAUUUGUCUCAGGAGACCAGGUCUGAGUCCAGGCUUUGCCUUGUAGUACCUGUGGGACUUUUGGACAAAUCACUUCCUCUCUCUAAGCCUCUAUUUCCUCAGCGGUUCAAGAGGGGGCUGGAUCAGGAGAAAUCUCAGGCUUAUUCUGCUCUAACGACCUCUGAGUCUAUGCAAGCUGGCUGAAUGUUACCUUGAGCCCUGCCCAGAAUAUCCAGUUGGCUAAAAUUUCUGCUCUGGUCUUAAAAUAUGACUUAGUAGGAUUUUCUUUUCAUCACCUGACUUAUGUCAUUUGAAGGUCAUCUGUGACCACUAGAAUGAAUGCGAUUUUAAGCCCUUAAAAACAAAAAUGAUAAUUAUUCAGUGACAUCAUCAGUAUGUCACCCAUGAGUUUUGCCACAUUGGCUAUAUGAUUUGGUAAUAAUUAUCUGCAAGACUCUUUCACAGGAAACACCUGCUGAGGUGUAGGUCAGCCCGGCUGCUCUAAAUAUGAAACACUUCUUCUGUUCCUGUCCCUGCAGAAAUAGAGAUAAGCAGGGCAGACUCUCAAGAAACCUCAAAGCCCCCAGCUUCCUCUUCAUUCUCCCUUUCUUCCGUCAGGGUCUGCCAUCUAUUCUAGCCACUGCACCUUUUAUUGUAUUCCUAGAUAGAAAUGCAAAGGAACCACCAUUAGGACAUGUCCUUCUACCCAGUUCUAUCUAAUUUAAUUGUCCUGGUCAUAUUUGAUUUUUAAUAUUUUUUUCUUUCCUAUUAAAAGAAAUAAGAAGUUAGUUGCUUUUAAUUUAGUUGAGAUUUUCCUCAGUGGGAAAACAGUGAGUAUGAAGAAAUGGGUAAGAACAUAAUGAUGGUUUUAGGUCUCUGUCUCAUGCUGUCUCCUACCGUGCACUUUCCAUCAACUC
Bos taurus (domestic cattle) is the source of this 6466-nucleotide long non-coding RNA. Lineage: Eukaryota; Metazoa; Chordata; Mammalia; Artiodactyla; Bovidae. The record is from Ensembl.